GCCUGUGUGGUGUAGUGGUUUGAAUAAUGACUAGGACUCUGGAGAUUGGGGUUCGAUUCCCUGCUUGGCUA
RNAcentral lists this transfer RNA (71 nucleotides) under Phrynosoma platyrhinos (Desert horned lizard). Its description in RNAcentral is "tRNA-OTHER". The record is from RNAcentral. Lineage: Eukaryota; Metazoa; Chordata; Lepidosauria; Squamata; Phrynosomatidae.